This 805-nucleotide long non-coding RNA is filed under the name Gadus morhua (Atlantic cod). RNAcentral's name for it is "lncRNA (ENSGMOG00000032625.1)". The record is from RNAcentral. Lineage: Eukaryota; Metazoa; Chordata; Actinopteri; Gadiformes; Gadidae.
GAAAGAUAUGAGUUAGAGAAUAUAUUAAGGAAAAUGUCAGGAGAUAGAUGCUAUAGGCACGUAUUUGGAUAUUUAAAAGAAACAAAUUUGAUAAAGAAAAUAUGAAAUCCGGGUAACUCAGGGAUACAAUAGUAAAUAUAAAGAUGCAUAAAGAAACCAGUAGGUGGGGGUAAUGCGCAUGUUUGUUUGCCAACCGCCAAUAAAACCAAAUAGAAGAAGAAGAAGAGACUCGGGUGUGAGAAAAGGAAAACACGUGAAAACAAAGGGGAUGAAGGCAAACCGAAUGAAAUAAAGGUUAUCAUUCGAUUCCAAACUCCGGGUGCAUUGAAUCCUUUAAAAAUUAGUGAUGCUGUGUAUAAACUAGUAGGCGGAAGGCGGGUCACUCCAGGCUGCUGCAGUCGUCGUCACUGUCGCUGCUAGUUGUAUCAUGAUCCAGGAUGACCGGGGAAGGACUCGGAGGAGGAAGACUGAACUGCUGGGGACCUGCAAUGUAGAAGAUCAUCGUUAAGCGUACAAUUUGGUGACAUGGGAGGCAAAAGCCAGCUUCUUCCCUCCUCUGCCAAGCCAGUUGAAUUUCAGCGCAAAGUGGUUGGUGAGGAUGUGGCGAAGGAUUCUUCGAACCGCGUCACCAGGAUUGCAGCCCCCAAGCGCACUAAGGUGUGCUGCCUGCAGGCUUGAUCAAGUUUUCCUGCCCAACACCUGCACCUGGAAAGCUGAAGGGUUGUGCACAAGGACUUUCAUGCACUUUGAUCUUUGGGUGCUCCUGGUUUGGGCUUUUUUCAGGUUCAUACGCGCUGCAUCAUAA